UACGGAGGGUGCAAGCGUUGUUCGGAAUCACUGGGCGUAAAGCGCGUGUAGGCGGUCGGGCAAGUCAGGUGUGAAAGCCCAUGGCUCAACCAUGGAAUUGCAUUUGAAACUGCUCGGCUUGAGUAUGGGAGGGGGAGGUGGAAUUCCUGGUGUAGAGGUGAAAUUCGUAGAUAUCAGGAAGAACACCGGUGGCGAAGGCGGCCUCCUGGACCAUCACUGACGCUGAGACGCGAAAGCGUGGGGAGCAAACAGG
This 253-nucleotide unclassified non-coding RNA is filed under the name uncultured delta proteobacterium. RNAcentral describes it as "contains 16S-23S intergenic spacer region". It matches the Rfam family "Bacterial small subunit ribosomal RNA", at positions 524 to 776 of the family's 1533-position model. Lineage: Bacteria; Deltaproteobacteria. The record is from RNAcentral.